RNAcentral lists this ribosomal RNA (864 nucleotides) under uncultured bacterium. RNAcentral's name for it is "bacterial SSU rRNA". It matches the Rfam family "Bacterial small subunit ribosomal RNA", at positions 28 to 895 of the family's 1533-position model. The record is from RNAcentral.
GAUGAACGCUGGCGGCGUGGAUAAGGCAUGCAAGUCGAACGAACCUCAUUUUUCCAGAGAUGCGAUUAUAUCAAAUCAAAGGUCGUUUAAGGUUAGUGGCGAACGAGGUAGUAAUACGCAGGAACUUCCCCCAAAGUCGCGAAUAAUUCGGAGAAAUCCGAACUAAUACGCGAGGUCUCGCAAGAGUAAAGAUUUUUCGCUUUGGGAAAGGCCUGUGCGAUAUCAGCUAGUUGGUAGUGUAAUGGACUACCAAGGCUAUGACGUCUAGGGGAGGUGAGAGCCUGACCCCCACCGAUGGUACUGAGACACGGACCAUACACCUACGGGUGGCCGCAGUCGAGAAUCUUCCGCAAUGGGCGAAAGCCUGACGGAGCGACGCCGCGUGAUUGAUGAAGUCCCUAUGGGACGUAAAGAUCUUUUAUGAGGGAAGAAGUUUAUUGACGGUACCUCAUGAAUAAGAGGCUCCUAAUCUCGUGCCAGCAGGAGCGGUAAUACGAGAGCCUCGAGCGUUAUCCGGAAUUAUUGGGCGUAAAGGGUGCGUAGGUUGUUCUGUUAGUCUUUUGUCAAAGCCCCGAGCUUAACUUGGGAUAUGCAAAAGAGACGGCAAAACUUGAAAGUGCGAGAGGCGUACGGAACUUAUGGUGUAGGGGUGAAAUCCGUUGAUAUCAUAGGGAACACCAAAUGCGAAGGCAGUACGCUGGCGCAUAUUUGACACUGAGGCACGAAAGCGUGGGUAGCGAAUGGGAUUAGAUACCCCAGUAGUCCACGCCCUAAACGAUGAUCUCUCGCUAUUCGGAGUAUCGACCCUCUGAGUGGCUUAGCUAACGCGUUAAGAGAUCCGCCUGGGAAGACGGCCGCAAGGCU